RNAcentral lists this ribosomal RNA (1343 nucleotides) under uncultured bacterium. RNAcentral describes it as "16S ribosomal RNA". It matches the Rfam family "Bacterial small subunit ribosomal RNA", at positions 28 to 1378 of the family's 1533-position model. The record is from RNAcentral.
GACGAACGCUGGCGGCGUGCUUAACACAUGCAAGUCGAACGGAAAGGCCCUGCUUUUGUGGGGUGCUCGAGUGGCGAACGGGUGAGUAACACGUGAGUAACCUGCCCUUGACUUUGGGAUAACUUCAGGAAACUGGGGCUAAUACCGGAUAGGAGCUCCUGCUGCAUGGUGGGGGUUGGAAAGUUUCGGCGGUUGGGGAUGGACUCGCGGCUUAUCAGCUUGUUGGUGGGGUAGUGGCUUACCAAGGCUUUGACGGGUAGCCGGCCUGAGAGGGUGACCGGCCACAUUGGGACUGAGAUACGGCCCAGACUCCUACGGGAGGCAGCAGUGGGGAAUAUUGCACAAUGGGCGGAAGCCUGAUGCAGCAACGCCGCGUGCGGGAUGACGGCCUUCGGGUUGUAAACCGCUUUCGCCUGUGACGAAGCGUGAGUGACGGUAAUGGGUAAAGAAGCACCGGCUAACUACGUGCCUGCAGCCGCGGUGAUACGUAGGGUGCGAGCGUUGUCCGGAUUUAUUGGGCGUAAAGGGCUCGUAGGUGGUUGAUCGCGUCGGAAGUGUAAUCUUGGGGCUUAACCCUGAGCGUGCUUUCGAUACGGGUUGACUUGAGGAAGGUAGGGGAGAAUGGAAUUCCUGGUGGAGCGGUGGAAUGCGCAGAUAUCAGGAGGAACACCAGUGGCGAAGGCGGUUCUCUGGGCCUUUCCUGACGCUGAGGAGCGAAAGCGUGGGGAGCGAACAGGCUUAGAUACCCUGGUAGUCCACGCUGUAAACGGUGGGUACUAGGUGUGGGGUCCAUUCCACGGGUUCCGUGCCGUAGCUAACGCUUUAAGUACCCCGCCUGGGGAGUACGGCAGCAAGGCUAAAACUCAAAGGAAUUGACGGGGCCCCGCACAAGCGGCGGAGCAUGCGGAUUAAUUCGAUGCAACGCGUAGAACCUUACCUGGGUUUGACAUGGAUCGGGAGUGCUCAGAGAUGGGUGUGCCUCUUUUGGGGUCGGUUCACAGGUGGUGCAUGGCUGUCGUCAGCUCGUGUCGUGAGAUGUUGGGUUAAGUCCCGCAACGAGCGCAACCCUUGUUCACUGUUGCCAGCACGUUAUGGUGGGGACUCAGUGGAGACCGCCGGGGUCAACUCGGAGGAAGGUGGGGAUGACGUCAAGUCAUCAUGCCCCUUAUGUCCAGGGCUUCACGCAUGCUACAAUGGCUGGUACAGAGAGUGGCGAGCCUGUGAGGGCGAGCGAAUCUCGGAAAGCCGGUCUCAGUUCGGAUUGGGGUCUGCAACUCGACCUCAUGAAGUCGGAGUCGCUAGUAAUCGCAGAUCAGCAACGCUGCGGUGAAUACGUUCCCGGG